AUUGAACGCUGGCGGCAGGCCUAACACAUGCAAGUCGAGCGGAUGAAGGGAGCUUGCUCCUGGAUUCAGCGGCGGACGGGUGAGUAAUGCCUAGGAAUCUGCCUGGUAGUGGGGGAUAACGUCCGGAAACGGGCGCUAAUACCGCAUACGUCCUGAGGGAGAAAGUGGGGGAUCUUCGGACCUCACGCUAUCAGAUGAACCUAGGUCGGAUUAGCUAGUUGGUGGGGUAAAGGCCUACCAAGGCGACGAUCCGUAACUGGUCUGAGAGGAUGAUCAGCCACACUGGAACUGAGACACGGUCCAGACUCCUAAGGGAGGCAGCAGUGGGGAAUAUUGGACAAUGGGCGAAAGCCUGAUACAGCCAUGCCGCGUGUGUGAAGAAGGUCUUCGGAUUGUAAAGCACUUUAAGUUGGGAGGAAGGGCAGUAAGUUAAUACCUUGCUGUUUUGACGUUACCAACAGAAUAAGCACCGGCUAACUUCGUG
Molecule: ribosomal RNA, 484 nt
Filed under: uncultured bacterium
Lineage: Bacteria
Description: partial 16S ribosomal RNA
Rfam family: Bacterial small subunit ribosomal RNA
Source: RNAcentral